AAGAAAGAGGAAGGGCGGGAAAGCAGACUUAGGCGCCUGAGCCACCACCCGGCGGCCUUGAGCAGCAACAGCAGCUCUGAGGCGCCCGAGUGGCGGGGCAGUGACCCAAACCCAAACAGACGGACCUCCCCUUCAGGUGCCUUCCAAAGGGGAGGGGAACUACAACUUCCAUCAUCCCCAACCUGCAUGGCACAUUUGCUGAGGAUGAGAGGCUACCAAGUUGAAAAGGGUUGAUCCAGAAAGAGAACGUUAACAUCCUCCAAGUUCCCUUUGAUUUGGUCAGUACCUUCAAAGCUGCCUUCAUCCCGGCUGCUAAUGGCUGUUCCACAGUUGAUGCUCUUGUAUUAGUGAAAGGUAACAACAGCUCUUAGUAGUAGGGAGAGCCAGAAGAAAUUCUGAAUCCUCCCACUUUGUGGCUGCUUCUGAGCUGGGUUACAAUUUUCGUGUAAGAAAAUUAAACCUAUCAGCUAAUUCCUUCAAAUUGUCUCCCAUCCAGCAGAACAGCAGUGAGUGGUGCCAUUACCCCCACCAAGAGGCAGCCACAUGCAGAGAGGAAAGAGAGUGUGCUGUCACUACAGAGUUGAGGCUCUAGGCUGUCCCUUAUUUCAGCUGCUGCUGCUGCUCCACCUCCCCCUUGAUUUGUGACAGAAGAACAACUAGCAAGAAUCCCACCCACCACCUGUCAUUUUUCUAUUUACCAAACACGAGGCUCUGUUUCUCUCUCUGAAAAACAAAGCAAUUCGAAGGAACAAAAUCUGCUCUAGAUUACAACAUUCCUACUUCUUUAUCAUACUCCCAUGAGCUUUAUAGAUGCACUGAUUGGAUUGAUGUAUCAACUGGGUAGAAUAUAAUGGUUUUGAAUACAAAUAUGGGCAUGUCUUGUUUUACAUCUUGAGCUUUACAUCUUGAGCUUGGCAAAAUCAAAUCUGGCAAUAGGUCAUAGGUUUGAUGCUACCUGCAUCAA
This is a long non-coding RNA of Ahaetulla prasina, 964 nucleotides long. RefSeq lists it as uncharacterized. The record is from RefSeq and is a predicted model, not a curated record. The transcript is spliced from 3 exons. NCBI's taxonomy places the organism in Eukaryota, Metazoa, Chordata, Lepidosauria, Squamata, Colubridae.